Molecule: ribosomal RNA, 424 nt
Filed under: uncultured bacterium
Lineage: Bacteria
Description: bacterial SSU rRNA
Rfam family: Bacterial small subunit ribosomal RNA
Source: RNAcentral
CUCACCAGGAGAGGUCGGGUGAAACUACAGGACUCGAGCUUCGGAGGGGAGAGUGGAACUUCCAGAGUAACGGUGAAAUGUGCAGAUACUGGAAGGUACCUCGAUAGCGAAGGCAGCUCUCUGGCCGACAGCUGACGCUGAAGCGCGAAAGCGUGGGGAGCAAACCGGAUUAGAUACCCGGGUAGUCCACGCCCCAAACGAUGUCAACUAGGUGUUGGCUCCUUUAACUGAGGGCCAGUGCCGCAGCUAACGCGUUAAGUUGACCGCCUGGGGACUACGGCCGCAAGGCUAAAACUCAAGGGAAUUGACGGGGGCCCGCACAAGCGGUGGAGCACGUGGUUUAAUUCGAAGCAACGCGAAGAACCUUACCAGGCCUUGACAUCCAAUGAACUUUCUAGAGAUAGAUUGGUGCCUUCGGGAACAU